AUGCCGCUUAAGAAUAAAAUCUUCGCAUGGUAUCUUCGUCGUGGAGUCCUUCUUACUAAAGAUAACCUUAUUAAGAGGAAUUGACAUGGAAGUCCGCAAUGUGUCUUUUGUCACCAUGAUGAGACAAUAAAACAUUUAUUCUUUCAAUGCAAAUUGGCUCGUUCUAUAUGGUCAGUCAUCCAAAUAGCUUCUGGCUUGUAUCCUCCUUGUAGUGUUGCUAAUGUGUUUGGCAACUGGCUACAUGGGAUUGAUCACAGGUUUAGAACCCUUCUCAGAGUGGGAGCGCUUGCCGUUAUUUGGUCGCUUUGGCUCUGUAGAAAUGAUAAGGUUUUUAACGAUAAAAGUACUUCUCUUAUGCAGGUUAUCUACAGAUGUACCGGGACUCUUCGUUUAUGGUCCUCUCUACAAUGUGUGGAGAAUCGAGACCUGUUUAUGGAGGUGUGUACACGAUUGAAGGCUACGGCGAGGGAUACUUUUACCCAACAUGGGUGGCAGCAUGAUCUUAGGAUUGGCCUCCCCCCGCUUUAG
This 528-nucleotide ribosomal RNA is filed under the name Triticum aestivum (bread wheat). Its description in RNAcentral is "partial small subunit ribosomal RNA". Lineage: Eukaryota; Viridiplantae; Streptophyta; Magnoliopsida; Poales; Poaceae. The record is from RNAcentral.